UGGGGAAUCUUGCGCAAUGGGCGAAAGCCUGACGCAGCCAUGCCGCGUGAAUGAUGAAGGUCUUAGGAUUGUAAAAUUCUUUCACCGGGGACGAUAAUGACGGUACCCGGAGAAGAAGCCCCGGCUAACUUCGUGCCAGCAGCCGCGUAAUACGAAGGGGGCUAGCGUUGCUCGGAAUUACUGGGCGUAAAGGGAGCGUAGGCGGACAUUUAAGUCAGGGGUGAAAUCCCGGGGCUCAACCUCGGAAUUGCCUUUGAUACUGGGUGUCUUGAGUAUGAGAGAGGUGUGCGGAACUCCGAGUGUAGAGGUGAAAUUCGUAGAUAUUCGGAAGAACACCAGUGGCGAAGGCGACACACUGGCUCAUUACUGACGCUGAGGCUCGAAAGCGUGGGGAGCAAACAGGAUUAGAUACCCUGGUAGUCCACGCCGUAAAACGAUGAUUGCUAGUUGUUGGGAUGCAUGCAUUUCGGUGACGCAGCUAACGCAUUAAGCAAUCCGCCUGGGGAGUACGGUCGCAAGAUUAAAACUCAAAGGAAUUGACGGGGUCAUAGCUGUUCCUG
RNAcentral lists this ribosomal RNA (560 nucleotides) under uncultured bacterium. RNAcentral's name for it is "partial 16S ribosomal RNA". It matches the Rfam family "Bacterial small subunit ribosomal RNA", at positions 355 to 1376 of the family's 1533-position model. The record is from RNAcentral.